UGGGGAAUAUUGCACAAUGGGCGCAAGCCUGAUGCAGCGACGCCGCGUGCGGGAUGGAGGCCCUUCGGGUUUGUAAAACCGCUUUUGUUCAAGGGCAAGGCACGGUCUUUGGCCGUGUUGAGUGGAUUGUUCGAAUAAGCACCGGCUAACUACGUGCC
Molecule: ribosomal RNA, 158 nt
Filed under: uncultured bacterium
Lineage: Bacteria
Description: partial 16S ribosomal RNA
Rfam family: Bacterial small subunit ribosomal RNA
Source: RNAcentral